AGCAAUUCGGAAGUCUCACCAUCUGUUCAGGCACCAUUACAACAAUUAAUCUCAAGCAAAAACAGUGCUCUUUUGAAGCCAGGAACAGUUAUAAUACACACGCAUUAAGCAGGCCCCAUUGAGCUCAAAGUUCAACAGGUACGUGCAAUAUUUGAGGAUUAUAUUAGUUGUAUAAAUCUGUUAAGACACAACCGCCCAAUAAUGUCCAUUAAAAUUCCGUUUCUUGAAAUUAUACUCCUACUUUGAAUGAUGAAUUAUAAAUAUUUCCGGUUAUCUUUUUAAGUUAACCUCCUAAUUUGACAUUUCAAGCUGAACACAAUAAUUGAAUAAUGUUAACAAUUAUAGUUGGUGCAAAAGAUGAGAUGGAUCUUAACAAUUAUAGUUGGCCAAAAGAUGAGAUGGAUUUUCUAUGGAAACCCAAUAUUU
RNAcentral lists this unclassified non-coding RNA (426 nucleotides) under Hevea brasiliensis (rubber tree). Lineage: Eukaryota; Viridiplantae; Streptophyta; Magnoliopsida; Malpighiales; Euphorbiaceae. The record is from RNAcentral.